Pelodiscus sinensis (Chinese soft-shelled turtle) is the source of this 1877-nucleotide non-coding RNA. Lineage: Eukaryota; Metazoa; Chordata; Testudines; Trionychidae. The record is from RefSeq and is a predicted model, not a curated record.
CUCACUUCUUCAGUGGGAGCAGGAUGAAGCUCAGUAUGUUAUAUAAAGCCUGAGUUUCCCUGUCCCUCUCUUUCUACCAAUGGUAUUUGCAACAAGAGCAAAGCUGAUAAUCUAAUAGAAUUCUUUGCACGCUGGCUAUAAUGCUAGAAUUGACUGAGUAAGUACACAUACUGUAUUACUUUGCCAGAAGAGCCUAGCAGAUCCAACAGAUUUUUACUUUGUAAGACAGAUUUUGCUGUAUUCAUGCUUUUUUUUAUCUCCCCCUGAGGAGUAUUAACUCAAAGCAAUCACAAGACACCCAUUCUUGCCUGCUGCUUCCUGGGCUGCUACUUGUAUCUUCUUCAUUCCUUACUGCUUCUCUAGCCAUUUAAAUCAUAAUUUUAAACUGUUGUCUGCUCCUAAAAUGAUAACCUUGUCAUUUGGGAAAGGCUAAACACGUAAAAGCAUUUUCAUUUCGGUAGCCUUCACUUUCAUUUACUCCUUUCUUUUCAAAUCAAGCAGCACACAGAGUGCUGUAUAAAUAGCAAAGCCUGAACUACAGCCAGUUUUGAGGUAUAUGUAAAAUGCAGGAUUGAAAAAGGAAGAGACAAACUGCAAGGAAAAUGCUAAGCUGCUCCUGAGCCUGAUGGCAAUGUCUGUAUUUUGUCUUGGUUACCUGAACAAUCUCCGGGAGCUUAAAUGGAUUACAAUAAUAUUCUAACAAGACUGCAGGCAUCAUCAACAGCUCUCAUCUAGGGAAGAAGAUAAGGGAUGGAAGAAUGUAAUUAUUUCCAUGUAAGCUAAAUUCCAGUAGCUGACUGCUAUGAGAGGGAAAGCCCUGAAAACUUUGCUCUCCAUAUAAGACAAAUAGAACUUCUCAGAGCUGAUUGAAAAUGGCAUUGCUGAGCUGAAACUUAACUGGAGGAAAUAUAUCUCCUGAAGAAGAAAAUAUAAUGCACUUUAAGGAUCUGACUUGUGGUGAAAAAGUCAAGCCUAGAGAAAACUUGUCCACUUUAUUAGGACGAAUGGGUCGGACAAUCUUCUUCAGUUGCAAAGGAUAUCUGAACGCCAUGCUGAGCUUAAUCUCUGCAGCAUGCUAUGUGCUUCUCUUCUCCUCCUGAUGCACUGCAUGAUUAGCCUGAGGAGAAGGCUAAAGAAACUGGCCACCAAGAUGGUAAUCACUAGUGGAAAUGAAGAAGAUAAAGGCAAUCAAGAAAAGGAGAGCAAAGAAGAAACCAUCCUGGCAAUGCUUGGCAUUAUUGGAACAAUUCUGAAUCUCAUUGUGAUCAUUUUUGUGUACAUUUAUACAACAUUGUGAGCCAGAAGGCACAGGACAAGAACUGACAAAACGGCUGCUAAAGGUGACAACAAACAUUGUAGGCUAUUGACAUGUUGCUUAAUCAGAAUUGAUUCUGUACUGUAUUACCACAUCAUAAAAGUACUGCCUGUAGGCAGCAAAAGCUGAAGCACAAUUAAUUUAACAGGACUUCUUCACGCAGUAACAAGCUAAACUCUUCUGCUCUGCUUCUUUCCCUUUUUAUUUGGUUUUGGUCUGGGGGUGGGGGAAAAUGACUGCAAUUAUGUAAGUAGCAGCUCUGAAGCACUCCAUCUGGGAUGCAAAACACAAUAGAAAGAGACUGUACACUAUUUAGAAUUACUAAUGUAUAUCGUAUACUCUCAAAGAUAGCUACAUAGCACAGGUUUUAUGUCCAUUAGGUCAAAUAUUUUUUCCCUCUAUUUUGUUUACAUUGAAACUGACAGGCUUUUUAUUUAGAAUGAACAUAUGGUGCAAUCAUGGAAAAACAAUUCUGUUGAGCAAGAUCUGCCUAAAAACAAUAAAAUGGGGGAAAUAAGUGACAUGUUUAUUUUUUCUUUUUCAUUUGCUUGACGUAUGCUGU